AUUCUACUUUGAUUGUGGUAAUCUGUAUUUUCUCAUUCCAAAAAUGGAGAAAAUAAUGCUGGCCUCUACCUCCUAGAAGCUUACAGUCAAAAUAUUACAACAACAAUGCUAUCCACACAGAUGUUAAAACACAGAGUAAACAGAUGUUGCGCAAUUAAGACACAGCUAAAACAGGGGCCGAGUAUUUAUAUAUGGAGAAUUGACUCUUGUUGCCACAGGAAGGUGAAGGACAAGAGCGAAAAGAAAAAUUAUACUGGUUUCAUAAAGACAGGACUACUGAGGGAUUUGAGGUGGUCCUUGCAGGGAGAGAACAUGGGAAGCUCACAGGAAAUUAAACCAGAAAUAUGACUGGAAAAUGUCUUGAAGUGUCAUGAAAGCUGAAGAGGAAAGUUAAAAUUAAUCUAAGAGCACACCAAACAGGAACAGCAAGUAUUGAAGAUGCCUGCCCUGUUUCCAGAACAUCAAUAUUAUUUCACAUUUCUGUUGUGUGAUUAACUUUACAAAAGAAAUUGCUAUCCCUCCUGGAAUGUAAGAGCCAUGAACAGGAAUCUUUUACUCUUUGUCACGGAUGUAUUUUGAGGACCGAAAAGAGUGCCUGUGACAUAACAGACACUCAAUAAAUAUUUGCUGAAUGGCUAUUUGAUAAAUUGGAUAAAUCAACAUAGAACUGUACCCCAAAAAGAGUAACCAUGAAAAAAGCAGUCUUCAUUCAGAAAGGGCGGAAAGAAAGGGGUGACUAAAUAUAGCACCUUCAACUGAAACAUUAAGGUACUCUCAUUGGAAGUAAUCAAGGAAACAACUCGACCCACGGAGACCAGAGCAAAUCAAGGCAGGAAGACAGCCCACUUGGGAAAGACGUGGAGUCAAGGGAAACUCCCCUUCCCAGGGAAGUGGUAAGUGAAUGC
This 905-nucleotide long non-coding RNA is filed under the name Homo sapiens (human). RNAcentral's name for it is "HSALNT0147451". Lineage: Eukaryota; Metazoa; Chordata; Mammalia; Primates; Hominidae. The record is from RNAcentral.